UAUACGCAAGUGAUGCACGUUUAAAAGAGCAGCCGCACAAAAUUUCAGCGGUUCUUUUUUCAUUUUUUAAUUUCUUCGCUCCUCCUCCUUUCCCUUCUCAGCUUCUUCUCUGGUUCUUCUCUACCAAACCGCCUUACUCUUCAUCUCCCUACCACGUCGCCGCUGGUCUUCCUCUUCCUGCCGCGUCGCUCUUCCUUCCCCCACCGCCGCUAACCUCUAAUUUUUCGUUAAUUAACCAUUUUUAUGCAAAUCAAGGGUUGUUGAACUACUUGUUUGUUGCAAUUUUCUUUCUCAAUUGCCAGAUUUACAAAAUUUUUGAACUUUAUUUUAGGGUUUUUGUUCUAGUUUUGUUGUUCGUUGAUGUGUCAAUUAGACAAUUUGUCUAUUUAAUUUCAAAAAAUUAUACCGUAUUGACCUUGUUCUUGUAAAAGUAUGGGAUUGCAUUGUUUAUUUGGGAAUAUCAAGGUUUGUCAAUAGAAUUGGUUUGUUAUAGUGAUUCCAUUGUAGUUGUUUUCCUUGUAUUAGUUAGUUUGACAGAUUGUCAGAAAUUGAGCUUCAUUUAAGCUUAAUCUGUACUCAAGUACACGUUCUUGGUUAUUCUUUUUGUAAGUUUUACAGAAAAAUGAUCUAUUAUUGCAAAACUAUUUUGCUUUGAAGUUUAAUGAUAUUUCUUAGGGAAUUGGAAGUAACAAAUACUUAAUUAAUUUCUUAGGUAGCACUUGUAACUUGUAAGUGAAACUGUAUUUUGUAAGUUCUACCUACGCAGAUUGCUUUACUUAGAUGAGCAAUAGGAGCCAUAGGGCUGGAUGAAGAGUACCAGCUUCUAUCAGAAUGAGUAAAAAGACUUCCAGCAGAACCAUUAAGGUGUUUUCGAUUUUGUUCUCUAAAGCUGUGUCUACUGUUUGUAGAUUCAGAAAAAUACAAGAGUUUCUGCUGGAAGAGAUUAGAAUGUGAUGGAGAUUGCUUUCAUAGCAUCUUGUAGAUGCCAAGAUUCAACCCUUGCUUUUGCUAUGAGUCAUUUGUUUACAGUUAGUCUGUACUAUGUAGUCAUUUUUGUAAGGGUGUGUAGUUUUGGUGUUUUUCGUUAAGUUGGCGCAGCUGUUGUUGCUUGCUCUCUCUCCGUAAUUUUUUUUUGUUGUUGUUGCUUGUACUCCUGCCUUUUUUGUUUUUGCUAAUGUGGACUGCUCUCAAAGAUGUAUCACCGUUCUUAUGUUUUUUUAUCGCUAAUAUUGCUAGCCUGUUAAUAUUCUCUUAUCAUCGUAAAUACCAAGGUUUUUACAUGAUCUUUGUAGUGAAGCUAAUGCCAUAGUAGAGAUAUAGUUGACUUCUCAUCCAAACACUUGAUUUCAUUAAAAGAUUGCAGAGAUGUGGAUGUGGAUGGUUCUCUUCCUUUUAGUAUGAGUUCAUAAUAGGUUUAACGUUUUCACUUUUCUGCAUUCAUAAUUUCUCCACAAAAGAAAGACAGAAACACUAGUAGAAAAAUCGACAUGUGCUUCCCUUCAAGUGCGGCUCAUAUAGUAAAUUGGCAGCACUUGUGAUCACUAAAACAAAACAUUUUCACAAGUGCGGGUCAUUUUAGAAAAGUAGCAGCACUUGAGUUUAAGUGCGGGCUUUAAAACUCAAGUGAGGGCUCAUUUCACAAGUGCCGCACAAAACUUUUCUAAAUAUACAAUUAAAAAAAACAAAUUUCUAAAAUUAACGAAGCUUCAUUUUCGCUCUCCCCAAUUUUCUCCCUCUUCACCUUCGUUUUCUCUCUCCUCUGCGGUCGCCGUUUCUUCUUCACCGCCGAAUCUCUCCGCCAUUGCGUAGUUUCUCAUUGAUGUUGGGGGGUUGAUUGUUGUAGUAGCUUCACCCUCUAUCUCACUUGUCUUUGCGAUCUCCCUCGUCUCCAGUCACUGCGCUCUCCCUCGUCUCCAGUCUGUACCGCCGCCGCCAACGGUGGUCCUGAAUCCACCACCAACUAGGCAGAGAUGAAGAAUAGACCAGAAGAUUCGAGUCACCCUAAUUUGAAGAAAUCGUUCAACUAUUCAGGUGAAUUAAGUUGCCCAUUGUGGGUGUUUAGGGCCGAAGUGUGUUGGGUUUAAUCGGGUGGGGUCUGCAUCAGCUGCUACAACAACAUUUUUGGCUCUUUGAGUGAGUCGAGUGAGCACGUUUAAUGCUAACGCAUACAAUCAGAUGGGUUCUGCAUCUGCUCUACAUCACCGUCUUUGGCUCUUGGAGUGACAAAGUUGAGAGGUGUUUGCACGACAUCUUCGCUAUUUAGUAAAUAUGAAGAUGGGGACAUCGUGAAUAAGUUACAAGAGAUGUAUGAGGUACUCAAAAAUUCGAGGGAGGAGCCUUUCACGAUUGAAGAGAUAAAUGAAGUUCGAGAAAAGUUGGCAAACUUCAUUUCUAGUGAUUGUCUUUGAUAUUUUCUUGUAGUGAAUUUUAGUAUUGUUUUUGAUAUUUCCUUGUAAUGAAUUUUAGGUUACGGAUGCUAGUUUUUUAUGACUGUUAUGUAAUCAAGUUUUCAACUGUACAAUUUAAUUAUCUAUAUAAUUGGGUACUUUUUUAUAUGAUGUAUGGAGGUUAACUAGUGGCGUGGUCCAAUUAUAUAAAAUAUGUGGCAUGAAAAUAGGAUAUAUAACAAAUACGGCUCGUUUAUAGGCUCGUAUAUAUAUAUAUCACAAGUGCGGACUCAUUCCCAAAAUUGGCAGCACAAAAGUUGUCAAGUGCGGGCUCAUUUACAAAAUUGUCAACACAAAGUUUAUCAAGUGCGGGCUCAUUUUAAAAAUUGGCAGCACAAAAGUUGUCAAGUGCGGGCACAUUUAAAAAAUUGGCAGCACAAAGUUUGUCAAGUGCGGGCACGUAUUCGAAAAUUGGCAGCACAAACUUUGUCAAGUGCGGGCACGUAUUCGAAAAUUGGCAGCACAAAGUUGUCAAGUGCGGGCACAUUUUCUAAAUUGGCAGCACAAAAAUAGUUUUGUGCGGGCUCAUAUAUUGGCAGUACUUGAGAAAUGGCAAGUGCGGGCAGGCCAUGUGCUGCACAUGUAAAAGCCCGCACUAAACCCUUUAAAAUGAGCCCGCACUUGAGGUUUUUUCCUCUAGUGAAAUAUCUUGAUCACCGAGGCAAUUAGAAACGAAAACAACUUGCUUUAGAUAAAGUUUGAGUCUGUUUGUUCAAUGCCUUCACGUGAAACUAAUUGAUGUCCUCCUUUCUUUCUUAUUCAUUCGGUGGAAAGUACUAUACGGAGCAGGGUCAACAAUACAUGGUAUAUAAUUUUAUAUUUUAUAUUAUUUUUAGAAUCUGGCUGAUAUGAUUAUUUCUUUAACAGGUCCCCAAACUUCUAUUGCACAUAAAUUUUCCCCAGCGUUUGAUAUGCUAUUUGGAUUGAUGAAAAACUUAAGCUCCUACAGGAUCCACACCAAGUUCUUGAAAGGUAUUCGAAAAUCCAAAGGAGAUGCCCUUCACCACUGAGGAGAUAGAUUAAGUUCGAGACAAAUUGAUAAACUUCAUUACUAGUUAUUGUCUUUGUUAUUUUGAACUUUUUUUUUUCUUGUAAAGAAUCUUAGGUUAUGAAUGCUCGUUUUUCAAUUGAUUAUAACAUAACCGACGUUCAGAUUAAUAUUUAUAUACUAUUUAAUUUAAUUAUCUAUAUAAUUGGAUACUUUUUUUAGUGAUGUAUGGAGGUUAAUUAGUGGCGUGGUUGUAUUGAAUAAUAUAUG
Molecule: long non-coding RNA, 3705 nt
Organism: Spinacia oleracea (spinach)
Lineage: Eukaryota; Viridiplantae; Streptophyta; Magnoliopsida; Caryophyllales; Amaranthaceae
Exons: 5
Source: RefSeq, a predicted model, not a curated record